Molecule: ribosomal RNA, 492 nt
Filed under: uncultured bacterium
Lineage: Bacteria
Description: partial 16S ribosomal RNA
Rfam family: Bacterial small subunit ribosomal RNA
Source: RNAcentral
AGUGAACGCUGGCGGUAGGCCUAACACAUGCAAGUCGAACGGCAGCACAGUAAGAGCUUGCUCUUACGGGUGGCGAGUGGCGGACGGGUGAGGAAUACAUCGGAAUCUACUUUUUCGUGGGGGAUAACGUAGGGAAACUUACGCUAAUGCCGCAUACGACCUACGGGUGAAAGCAGGGGAUCUUCGGACCUUGCGCGAUUGAAUUAGCCGAUGUCGGAUUAGCUAGUUGGCGGGGUAAAGGCCCACCAAGGCGACGAUCCGUAGCUGGUCUGAGAGGAUGAUCAGCCACACUGGAACUGAGACACGGUCCAGACUCCUACGGGAGGCAGCAGUGGGGAAUAUUGGACAAUGGGCGCAAGCCUGAUCCAGCAAUACCGCGUGGGUGAAGAAGGCCUUCGGGUUGUAAAGCCCUUUUGUUGGGAAAGAAAAGAAGCAGGUUAAUCCCCCGCUGUUCUGACGGUACCCAAAGAAUAAGCAACGGCUAACUUCGUG